This 601-nucleotide long non-coding RNA is filed under the name Panax ginseng (ginseng). Its description in RNAcentral is "long non-coding RNA (PGIN_LNC006778)". The record is from RNAcentral. Lineage: Eukaryota; Viridiplantae; Streptophyta; Magnoliopsida; Apiales; Araliaceae.
UUCUUCUCUAUAUCUGAUUUAUCCUAAACUUCUUUUGUAGGACAAACGAAUACGAAGUCGAUUUGGGGCUUUUUAGGUGGAGCAAAUCGAGAAUUUGCAAACCGUGGAGUUGGGGGAUCGAUCAAUUUUUGUUGCUGAUGACGACGACGUUAAGGUACCAUCUCCAGCAGAACUACCAAGAGGACAGAGCGGUGGCUGCUCGGAGGACAAAUUGUUUAAGAUAAUAUAUCUUGACCAAUUUUAUGUAAGAUAAUCUAAUUAUUAUAAUUUUAUUGAGAUAUUCAAUUUUUAGAUAUAGUCAAUUAAAAAUUUGUGAAUAUCAUUAUUAAAUUAAUUAAUUGAAAUAUCAUUAUUAUUAAACGGUAUGUGAAAAGCUUUGAUUUUUUCAGUUUUGCACUUCAUUUUGGUUGAUAUUUUGAAUAACCCAUUUGCCAAUUGGGUUAAAUUUGCUAUUUUUGUGAUGUUUAAUGCUUGGAUGUUCAUGGGUUUGUUGUAAAUUUAGCUGCUAGGUAUACCCCAGAUCAGAUUAGGAAAAUGGAAGAAUCAAUUCAAAUUCGAAAAGCCUCUGAACCCCUUGAGCUUAUAAAACUGGCAACAUUUU